RNAcentral lists this long non-coding RNA (378 nucleotides) under Capra hircus (goat). RNAcentral describes it as "lncRNA (ENSCHIG00000003805.1)". The record is from RNAcentral. Lineage: Eukaryota; Metazoa; Chordata; Mammalia; Artiodactyla; Bovidae.
CCUGACAUUUCUGAUCUCAUGUUUUCAUCCCACUGAAGAGACUUGGAAGCACCCUGUCUUUUACUGUGAGACACACUUCCUGUUUUAAGGAUUUUACAGUUUGGCAGAGAGAUAAGAGAAGUGAACGGCCAUCAGAAUACAAUACAUUAAAUGUCAAGAACAAGAAAAAUGAACUGCUGUGCAAUGGAAAUUCAGAAGUGAGAGAAUUGUUUUCCUGCCCAUUUCUUUGUGUCCAAAAUCCCAUUUGGAAUUGAAGCAGAUGGCUUCUUCAGCUUGCGGCCCAGUAAUUCUCUAUUUACUGCUCUGCUGCUCACCUGACCUGCGUCUCUUUAAGGGCAGGGACUGUGCUCUAUUCCUGGACUUUCCAGCACAUGGUAG